Molecule: long non-coding RNA, 398 nt
Filed under: Setaria viridis
Lineage: Eukaryota; Viridiplantae; Streptophyta; Magnoliopsida; Poales; Poaceae
Description: long non-coding RNA (SVIR_LNC005534)
Source: RNAcentral
GAAAGAUAAAGAGACGGCGAGGAAGCAGAAGAGGGCUACCAAGGAGCUCCAAAGGCGGCGGCGGGGCACGGUCGUGUCAGACGACAACGACGACGAUGACGAUGAGGACAAGGAGGAAGAAACCAAGGAGGAAGAGGAGGAGUAUGUUCUGGCCCCCCGGCUGGGUGCGCUCGUCAUUCGGGAGCAGCCCCCUCAACCGUCUGCGGGGGACAGGCCGAGUGGACCGCCCGCCCAGGGCCCGACCCCGCGAGGUUUUCGGGCUGUGCCCCAAGAAUCGGCAAGGGGCACGCCUUGGGAGUCGAUGGAGCCAACCCCCGACCCUUUGCCCGAGUCGCGCGAGCAGAGGAGCAGCGGCAAGCGGCCGCUGCCAGAUGCCCUGGGGUCGGCGUCGAGCUCGG